AUAUUCGGAGGCGACGAGGCUCGCCCUUAACCGCACCAGCCGGUGCUGAUGGCCUCCACCGAUUU
RNAcentral lists this non-coding RNA (65 nucleotides) under Catenulispora acidiphila. Its description in RNAcentral is "Fluoride sequence". It matches the Rfam family "Fluoride riboswitch aptamer (crcB RNA motif)". Lineage: Bacteria; Bacillati; Actinomycetota; Actinomycetes; Catenulisporales; Catenulisporaceae. The record is from RNAcentral.